GGUUUGAUUCUGUAGCUCAGGAAUUGAACGCUUCUGGCGGGAUGCUUACGCUAUGCAAGUCGAACGCAGCAGCACGGACUUCGGUCUGGUGGCGAGUGGCGAACAGGGUGAGUAAUGUAUCGGAACGUGCCUAGUAGCGGGGGAUAACUACGCGAAAGCGUAGCUAAUACCACAUAUGCGCCCUUCGGGGGAAAGCAGGGGACCUUCGGGCCUCGCACUAUUAAGAGCGGCCGAUAUCAGGAUUGGGCGAUUGUGGUGGGGUAACGGCUCGCAAGGCGACGAUCGUGCUUCGGUUUGAGGACGACCAGCCAUGGGACUGAGACGGCCCAGACUCUGGGAGGCAGCAGUGGGGAAUUUUGGACAAUGGGGGAAACCUGAUCAGCCAUCCCGCGUGUGCGAUGAAGGCCUUCGGGUUGUAAACACUUUGGCAGGAAAAACGGCACGGGAUAAUACCCCGUGCAACUGACAGUACCUGCAGAAUAAAAACGCAGCAACUACGUGCCAGCAGCGCGGUAAUACGUAGGGUGCAAGCGUUAAUCGGAAUUACUGGGCGUAAAGCGUGCGCAGGCGGUUCGGAAGAAGAUGUGAAGUCCCAGGCUUAACUUUGGAACUGCAUUUUUAACUACCGAGCUAGAGUGUGUCAGAGGAGGUGGAAUUCCGCGUGUAGCAGUGAAAUGCGUAGAUAUGCGGAGGAACACCGAUGGCGAAGGCAGCUGGGACACACUGACGCUCAUGCACGACGUGGGAACGACGGGAUUGAAGAUACCCUGGUGGUCCCACACUAUAAACGAUGUCAACUAGCUGUUGGGGCCUUCGGGCCUUGGUAGCGCAGCCGCAUGAAGUUGACCGCCUGGGAGAUACGAUCGCAAGAUUAAAAACUCCAAAGGAAUUGACGGACCACACAAGCGGUGGAUGAUGUGGAUUAAUUCGAUGCAACGCGAAAAACCUUACCUACCCUUGACAUGUCUGGAAUCCCGAAGAGAUUUGGGAGUGCUCGCAAGAGAACCGGGGUACAGGUGUCUGCAUGGCUGUCGUCAGCUCGUGUCGUGAGAUGUUGGGUUGGGUCCGCAACGAGCGCAACCCUUGUCAUUAGUUGCUACGAAGGGCACUCUAAUGAGACUGCCGGUGACAAACCGGAGGAAGGUGGGGAUGACGUCAAGUCCUCAUGGCCCUUAUGGGUAGGGCUUCACGUCAUACAAUGGUCGGGACAGAGGGUCGCCAACCGCAGAGAGGGAGCCAAUCCCGAAGGCCCGAUCGUAGUCCGGAUCAUGAUCUGCAACUCGACUGCGUGAAGUCGGAAUCGCUAGUAAUCGCGGAUCAGCAUGUCGCGGUGAAUACGUUCGGUCUUGUACACACCGCCCGUCACACCAUGGGAGUGGGUUUUACCAAGUAGUUAGCCUAACCGUAAGGAGGCAGACUACCACGGUAGGAUUCAUGACUGGGGUGAAGUCGUAAUAAAGGUAA
This 1464-nucleotide ribosomal RNA is filed under the name uncultured Bordetella sp. RNAcentral describes it as "partial 16S-23S ribosomal RNA intergenic spacer". It matches the Rfam family "Bacterial small subunit ribosomal RNA". The record is from RNAcentral. Lineage: Bacteria; Pseudomonadati; Pseudomonadota; Betaproteobacteria; Burkholderiales; Alcaligenaceae.